Molecule: non-coding RNA, 81 nt
Organism: Paramuricea clavata
Lineage: Eukaryota; Metazoa; Cnidaria; Anthozoa; Malacalcyonacea; Plexauridae
Source: the annotation of a GenBank genome assembly
ACGCCGGACGCGAUUCGACAACGCGACGCGAUUUUUCAAAAACUGAAAAAUCGCGUCGCGUUGUCGAAUCGCGUCCGGUGU